RNAcentral lists this ribosomal RNA (742 nucleotides) under uncultured bacterium. RNAcentral describes it as "bacterial SSU rRNA". It matches the Rfam family "Bacterial small subunit ribosomal RNA", at positions 8 to 796 of the family's 1533-position model. The record is from RNAcentral.
AGAGUUUGAUCAUGGCUCAGAACGAACGCUGGCGGCAGGCUUAACACAUGCAAGUCGAACGCAUCCUUCGGGGUGAGUGGCAGACGGGUGAGUAACGCGUGGGAACGUGCCCUUCAGUUCGGGAUAACCCAGGGAAACUUGGGCUAAUACCGGAUACGUGCGAGAGCAGAAAGAUUUAUCGCUGAAGGAUCGGCCCGCGUCUGAUUAGCUAGUUGGUGGGGUAAUGGCCCACCAAGGCGACGAUCAGUAGCUGGUCUGAGAGGAUGAUCAGCCACAUUGGGACUGAGACACGGCCCAAACUCCUACGGGAGGCAGCAGUGGGGAAUAUUGGACAAUGGGCGCAAGCCUGAUCCAGCCAUGCCGCGUGAGUGAUGAAGGCCUUAGGGUUGUAAAGCUCUUUCACCCACGACGAUAAUGACGGUAGUGGGAGAAGAAGCCCCGGCUAACUUCGUGCCAGCAGCCGCGGUAAUACGAAGGGGGCUAGCGUUGCUCGGAAUCACUGGGCGUAAAGGGCGCGUAGGCGGCCGAUCAAGUCAGGGGUGAAAGCCUGUGGCUCAACCACAGAAUUGCCUUUGAUACUGUUUGGCUCGAGACCGGAAGAGGUUGGUGGAACUGCGAGUGUAGAGGUGAAAUUCGUAGAUAUUCGCAAGAACACCAGUGGCGAAGGCGGCCAACUGGUCCGGUUCUGACGCUGAGGCGCGAAAGCGUGGGGAGCAAACAGGAUUAGAUACCCUAGUAGUCC